Molecule: unclassified non-coding RNA, 233 nt
Filed under: Glomus sp.
Lineage: Eukaryota; Fungi; Glomeromycota; Glomeromycetes; Glomerales; Glomeraceae
Description: partial internal transcribed spacer 2
Rfam family: 5.8S ribosomal RNA (bases 1-65)
Source: RNAcentral
GUGAAUCAUCGAAUUUUUGAACGCAAAUUGCACUCUCCGCUGAGGGUAUGCCUGUUUGAGUGUCAGCCUAUUAAAAAUCGACAUCGUUGCUGUUUCGCGGUGGCGUUCGUCGGAAAUUGGGUCAUCUUAAAUCCUUUUGAUUUAAGCGACUUAAACUUUUCUUUUAGUUCCAUGAACGUUUCUAAGAUCUAUUUCUUUCCACGUGUGAGGUAUCGAUUUUUACUAGACGACAC